Non-coding RNA from Anas platyrhynchos (mallard), 1748 nucleotides. The record is from RefSeq and is a predicted model, not a curated record. NCBI's taxonomy places the organism in Eukaryota, Metazoa, Chordata, Aves, Anseriformes, Anatidae.
CCUAGGAGAGGGCAUGGAUAGAAAAAGCUGUCAGUGCUGGAUGAGGUGGGGUCAGCAAGCACACCACAGAGCCCCAGCCAAAUUCACAGCAGGACAAACACAAGCGUCUGUGCUCAGCAGUCUCUCAGGGCUUCCAGCCUGAAGUUGACACCAUUUUCCUCCACGGCCCUUUUUGGGCUGACGAGGCAGGCUAGAGGCUCAAAGCCCACUUCAGCUCGUGCAUGGAAACCCCUGUGCUCAGCAGCGAGACUCACCCCAUGUGAUGACAGCUCUCCAGCACCCCUCCAGAUGUUCCUCAAGGAGGCAGCAGACUGGGAAAGAAGCUCUAAAACAUCUCAGUUUUCUAAUGUCAAGCUGGAAGACAACCCAGCAAUACCCAAACCCAACCCUGGGCUGAGUUGCUAUGAGCAAAGACAGAAGUGAACACUCAGUAGCAGAAAGUUCAAGGAAAAUAUUUUUAUCAUCUUUAGUUCUUAUUUACAGACCUCACCAAACAAACAACGCUUUUCUCCACCCAGGCUGCCAGAUGACGACUUUGAUGCAGGGAAGAACACCCCCUCAGGCAGUCUUUUAUUUCCAUUUUCUUAAAGCAGAUUUGCAAGAAGCAACAUGUUAAAAAAAAAAAAAAAAAAUCAGUUCUCUCUUGCUUCUGUACUGUAGAUAACCAAAUUUUUGACCCAAGAGGAAUUGGUCUUCGGGGUACAAAAAGAUAAGAAAGACCAAGGUGCUGUUUGCAGUACACAGCAGGGGGCUGAGGGCAUGGCUUGUCCUGCUGUUUGCCUGCCUCUCUGCUCAGCAGCCCCGAGCACAUUUCCACAAACAUUAUCAAAACAUCCUCGUGAUCAUAACAGAUGAAAUACCAGAGAUCUCGACAACCCUCAGCGUCUGAGCAAACACAGAAAUUACCUUUUCAAAGCUAAGCAAAAGAUACCAUCUGUGCUUUGCAUGUACUGUUCAAGAUUUUAAGCCAUUGCAGCAAACUUGCAAGCCUUCACACGAAGACCCAGUCUCUGUUCAGCAUCUCCUGACUCACCAGGACUCUUCCAAAGGUUCAUCCACCAGCUAAUGUGCUGGCUACUGCUGCAGAGUGACCUUCUGCAACGACAAUGCCAUACAGCUUCCACUCAAUGCAACUACCGCCUAGCUACCUCAAUGCACCAGCAACUACAGUACUGCCCUGAGCUUCCCCUCUCCCCUGAGGGGACUGCUUAUCACAGGCACCUACAGCAGCAAAGGAAUGCUCCUCAGCUGCUUCUGCUUCUCAACUGGAAGCCCUUCUUGAACAGUUUUCUCUUGCAAUAAACAGCUUUGUUUUGUUUGAUACUACCAACACACAAAAUGAACAAAAAUUAAAGAAGCACAAAACAGAAAUUAAACAAAGCAUUCACCUGUCAAGUACUACCAAAUUCUCAACUAUCCAUAAUUUCAGCCAAUAUGUAAUAUUGCUGAAAACUUUUGAAUUGCCAUAAUCAGCCAUGUGAACAGUUCUGCCCCAGGAAGAUUUUCUCCCUCGCUGCUGGAAGGAAGGGGGCCUGCUCUUGUGACACCUGUAGACAGAAGCUGUGCACCUAUGCACCUGGCAGAACCUUUUUUAAAGCAGACCCGGCAUCAUUCUGCAGGUCUCCCUCUGCAGACCUGCAUAUUUCUACUCUGCACAUACAGAAGUACAAAAAAGUUCAAACAUAUCAUUGCCUAAAUAGCCUAUAAUACCGUUUGUAACUUAAAUAAAGUCUCUAAAUUGAUACAAA